RNAcentral lists this long non-coding RNA (1056 nucleotides) under Monodelphis domestica (gray short-tailed opossum). Its description in RNAcentral is "lncRNA (ENSMODG00000045503.1)". The record is from RNAcentral. Lineage: Eukaryota; Metazoa; Chordata; Mammalia; Didelphimorphia; Didelphidae.
AUGGAUCUAGACCUGGGCGUCUACAUCAAAUACCAACUGGAUGGCUCACUAUUUGACCUUCGCCGCCUGACUGCAAAAACAAAGACAACAGAGAGACUCAUCCUGGAAGCUCUCUUUGCAGAUGACUGUGCUCUCAUGGCCCACCAAGAAAAUCAUCUCCAAACCAUUGUGGACAGGUUCUCCACCGCAACAAAACUGUUUGGCCUGACUAUCAGCCUCAGCAAAACAGAGGUGCUGUUCCAACCUGCACCAGGGAGGCCAACGAACCGGCCAUGCAUUACAAUCGACAGCACGCAGCUUUCUAACGUCAACACCUUCAAGUACCUGGGCAGCACCAUCGCCAACGACGGGUCCCUAGACCAUGAGAUCAAUGCCAGGAUCCAAAAGGCCAGCCAGGCACUCAGGCGGCUGCGCUGCAAAGUCCUCCAACACAGCGGUGUAAGCACUGCAACGAAGCUCAAAGUGUAUAACACAGUGGUCCUCAGCUCACUCCUGUAUGGUUGUGAGACAUGGACACUGUACCGGAAGCACAUGAAGCAGCUGGAGCAAUUCCACCAACGCUCCCUCCGGUCAAUCAUGAGGAUCCGAUGGCAGGACCGAAUCACCAACCAGGAAGUCCUCGACAGAACCAACUCCACCAGCAUCGAAGUCAUGGUUCUCAAAACCCAGCUACGAUGGUCUGGACACGUCAUCCGCAUGGACCCACAGCGAAUACCAAGACAGGUAUUCUAUGGGGAACUGUCAGCUGGACUCAGGAAACAAGGCCGACCAAAGAAAAGAUUCAAGGAUCAGCUAAAGUCCAACUUGAAGUGGGCUGGCAUUACACCAAAGCAACUAGAACUCGCUGCCUCUGUCAGAAGCAGCUGGCGAACCCACAUUAACCAUGCUGCAGCCACCUUUGAAGAUGAGCGACGUCGACGUCUUGCCGCUGCACGUGAACGCCGACACCAGGCCACAACCGCACCUCCCAUAACAACUGGCGUCCCAUGCCCCAUGUGCCACAAACUGUGUGCCUCAGCCUUCAGACUCCAAAGCCAUAUGAGGGUACAUCAAUAG